This 985-nucleotide ribosomal RNA is filed under the name Diplapion westwoodi. Its description in RNAcentral is "eukaryotic LSU rRNA". It matches the Rfam family "Eukaryotic large subunit ribosomal RNA", at positions 108 to 842 of the family's 3401-position model. Lineage: Eukaryota; Metazoa; Arthropoda; Insecta; Coleoptera; Brentidae. The record is from RNAcentral.
CCCAGCGCCGAAUCCCGCGGUCGAUAUCGCCGCCGGGAAAUGUGGUGUUAGGGAGGGUCCAUUAUCCCGAGAUCAUGCGGCGCGUCCAAGUCCUUCUUGAACGGGGCCACAGCCCAUAGAGGGUGCCAGGCCCGUAGCGACCGCUGCUGAUCGCGGGAGGAUCUCUCCUCAGAGUCGGGUUGCUUGAGAGUGCAGCCCUAAGUGGGUGGUAAACUCCAUCUAAGGCUAAAUAUGACCACGAGACCGAUAGCGAACAAGUACCGUGAGGGAAAGUUGAAAAGCACUUUGAAGAGAGAGUUCAAGAGUACGUGAAACCGUUUAGGGGUAAACCUGAGAAACCCGAAAGGUCGAAGGGAGAAAUUCACCGCGUUUCGGUGUUGGCGUGAGACGGUCGUGUGACGGAGAGGGUUUGUUUACCCAAUCCGCGCCUUCCGUUUUUCGAUCCGAUGUCGAACGCGUGCACUUUUCUUCUGGUAGGACGUCGCGAUCCGUUGGGUGUCGAUCUACGGCCCGAGGUGGAGCCCGCGCGGUUUAUCCGCUCGGACCCUCGGUGUCCUGGCCGACUCGCUUGACGGUAUAACACGAACGGUCGAGGGCCGCUUAUAAAGCGUUCGGCUCGUUGCAAGCGCGCCGGAAGUGUCGAAUACCGGACCUCGUGCCGAUACCGACCUCCGGUGGCUGUUGGCGACGAAGUUCUCGGACAGACCCUCAUGACCGAUCUGCGACGCUAUAGCUUUGGGUACUUUCAGGACCCGUCUUGAAACACGGACCAAGGAGUCUAGCAUGUGCGCGAGUCAUUGGGAAUCACUAAACCUAAAGGCGUAAUGAAAGUAAAGGUUCGUCUUGCACGAACCGAGGGAAGAUGGGGCGGUUUGCCAUUAAAAGCGGCCGCUCCGCACUCCCGGGGCGUCUCGUUCUCAUUGCGAGAAGAGGCGCACCAAGAGCGUACACGCUGGACCCGAAAGAUGGUGAACUAUGCCUGGUC